RNAcentral lists this ribosomal RNA (461 nucleotides) under uncultured bacterium. RNAcentral's name for it is "SSU rRNA". It matches the Rfam family "Bacterial small subunit ribosomal RNA", at positions 26 to 518 of the family's 1533-position model. The record is from RNAcentral.
AGAAUCAACGCUGGCGGCGUGCCUAACACAUGCAAGUCGAACGAGAAAGUGGAGCAAUCCAUGAGUAAAGUGGCGCACGGGUGAGUAACACGUGACUAACCUACCCUUGAGUGGGGGAUAACCUAGGGAAACCUGGGCUAAUACCGCAUAAUACCUUCGGGUCAAAGGAGCAAUUCGCUUAAGGAGGGGGUCGCGGCCGAUUAGUUAGUUGGCGGGGUAAUGGCCCACCAAGACUAUGAUCGGUAUCCGGCCUGAGAGGGCGCACGGACACACUGGAACUGAAACACGGUCCAGACUCCUACGGGAGGCAGCAGUGGGGAAUUUUGCGCAAUGGGGGAAACCCUGACGCAGCAACGCCGCGUGGAGGAUGAAGUCCCUUGGGACGUAAACUCCUUUCGAUCGGGACGAUUAUGACGGUACCGAGAGAAGAAGCCCCGGACUAACUUCGCGCCAGCAGCCGC